RNAcentral lists this long non-coding RNA (532 nucleotides) under Marmota monax (woodchuck). Lineage: Eukaryota; Metazoa; Chordata; Mammalia; Rodentia; Sciuridae. The record is from RNAcentral.
CAACUGCCACCACCGGCUUCCCACAAGCCUCUCAACCUCCCCCACUCCUCCUGCUCUUGAGGCCGAUUGGCUGGGUCCCGUGGGCGGAGCCAAAAAAAGUCCCCCAAUGUGCAGCUCCCUAGUCUGAAAGGGCGGGGAAACAGCCCAAUGAGCAUCACUGCAGAGGAGCCAAUCAGCUAGAAGUUGCUGGGGCCGCUGUGAGCCAAUCAUCAGCUGGCAGUCUGAAAGUUUGCUGGGGCCCCUUCGGAGUGGCUCUCAACAAUGGUGUAUUGAUUAUCACAGUCCAACAAAUUAACACAUUUAUCACAACCAUAAUUAUCAUUUGUAUGUAUUUGUGUAUGGUUAAGGCACUUAAAAUAUCUGUUACCAAAUUCCAAUCUAUAAAAAUUACAGUAUUAUUAACUAUAGUCACCAAGCUAUACCUUAGACCCCUGGAAAUCAUUUAUCUUCUAAAUGAGUUGAUAUACCUUGUAACCAACAUCUCCUUAUUUUCCCCACUCCCCAGCCCCUGCUAACUACCAUUAUAUUCUCU